GACGAACGCUGGCGGCGUGCCUAAUACAUGCAAGUAGAACGCUGAAGAGAGGAGCUUGCUCUUCUUGGAAGAGUUGCGAACGGGUGAGUAACGCGUAGGUAACCUGCCUUGUAGCGGGGGAUAACUAUUGGAAACGAUAGCUAAUACCGCAUAACAAUGGGUGACCCAUGUCAUUCAUUUGAAAGGGGCAACUGCUCCACUACAAGAUGGACCUGCGUUGUAUUAGCUAGUAGGUGAGGUAACGGCUCACCUAGGCGACGAUACAUAGCCGACCUGAGAGGGUGAUCGGCCCCACUGGGACUGAGACACGGCCCAGACUCUUAUGGGAGGCGGUAGUUGGGAAACUUCGGCAAAGGGGGCAACCCUGACCGA
This 372-nucleotide ribosomal RNA is filed under the name uncultured Streptococcus sp. Its description in RNAcentral is "bacterial SSU rRNA". It matches the Rfam family "Bacterial small subunit ribosomal RNA", at positions 28 to 390 of the family's 1533-position model. The record is from RNAcentral. Lineage: Bacteria; Bacillati; Bacillota; Bacilli; Lactobacillales; Streptococcaceae.